CUCUGUUUCGCAAGACUCAGGGCAAAAGGAG
RNAcentral lists this non-coding RNA (31 nucleotides) under Bacillus sp. NRRL B-14911. Its description in RNAcentral is "L31-Firmicutes ribosomal protein leader". It matches the Rfam family "L31-Firmicutes ribosomal protein leader". Lineage: Bacteria; Bacillati; Bacillota; Bacilli; Caryophanales; Bacillaceae. The record is from RNAcentral.